GAUGAACGCUGGCGGCGUGCCUAAUACAUGCAAGUCGAGCGAACAGAUAAGGAGCUUGCUCCUUUGACGUUAGCGGCGGACGGGUGAGUAACACGUGGGUAACCUACCUAUAAGACUGGGAUAACUUCGGGAAACCGGAGCUAAUACCGGAUAAUAUUUCGAACCGCAUGGUUCGAUAGUGAAAGUUGGUUUUGCUAUCACUUAUAGAUGGACCCGCGCCGUAUUAGCUAGUUGGUAAGGUAACGGCUUACCAAGGCGACGAUACGUAGCCGACCUGAGAGGGUGAUCGGCCACACUGGAAGUGAGACACGGUCCAGACUCCGACGGGAGGCAGCAGUAGGGAAUCUUCCGCAAUGGGCGAAAGCCUGACGGAGCAACGCCGCGUGAGUGAUGAAGGUCUUCGGAUCGUAAAACUCUGUUAUUAGGGAAGAACAUACGUGUAAGUAACUGUGCACGUCUUGACGGUACCUAAUCAGAAAGCCACGGCUAACUACGUG
This 497-nucleotide ribosomal RNA is filed under the name uncultured bacterium. Its description in RNAcentral is "partial 16S ribosomal RNA". It matches the Rfam family "Bacterial small subunit ribosomal RNA", at positions 28 to 507 of the family's 1533-position model. The record is from RNAcentral.